UACGUAGGGUGCGAGCGUUAAUCGGAAUUACUGGGCGUAAAGCGUGCGCAGGCGGUUUGUUAAGACAGAUGUGAAAUCCCCGGGCUUAACCUGGGAACUGCAUUUGUGACUGGCAAGCUAGAGUAUGGCAGAGGGGGGUAGAAUUCCACGUGUAGCAGUGAAAUGCGUAGAGAUGUGGAGGAAUACCGAUGGCGAAGGCAGGUCUCUGGGCUGACACUGACGCUCAUGCACGAAAGCGUGGGGAGCAAACAGG
Molecule: ribosomal RNA, 253 nt
Filed under: uncultured bacterium
Lineage: Bacteria
Description: partial 16S ribosomal RNA
Rfam family: Bacterial small subunit ribosomal RNA
Source: RNAcentral